RNAcentral lists this ribosomal RNA (484 nucleotides) under uncultured bacterium. RNAcentral describes it as "partial 16S ribosomal RNA". It matches the Rfam family "Bacterial small subunit ribosomal RNA", at positions 28 to 523 of the family's 1533-position model. The record is from RNAcentral.
GACGAACGCUGGCGGCGUGCUUAACACAUGCAAGUCGAACGAUGAACCCGGAGCUUGCUCCGGUGGAUUAGUGGCGAACGGGUGAGUAACACGUGAGUAACCUGCCCUUGACUCUGGGAUAACUGCGGGAAACUGUAGCUAAUACCGGAUACGACCCUCGGCGGCAUCGCCAGGGGGUGGAAAGAAUUUCGGUCAAGGAUGGACUCGCGGCCUAUCAGCUAGUUGGUGGGGUAACGGCUCACCAAGGCGACGACGGGUAGCCGGCCGGAGAGGGUGACCGGCCACACUGGGACUGAGACACGGCCCAGACUCCUACGGGAGGCAGCAGGGGGGAAUAUGGCACAAUGGGCGCAAGCCUUAUGCAGCAACGCCGCGUGAGGGAUGACGGCCUUCGGGUUGUAAACCUCUUUUAGUAGGGAAGAAGCGAAAGUGACGGUACCUGCAGAAAAAGCACCGGCUAACUACGUGCCAGCCGCCGCCGUAA